AUUUAUUUUUUCUUUUUUACUACUGUAUUUCCCAUCCACGUUUCCUAAAGAUGGUGGUGGUGUUUUAAUUGUUUUUUUCAGAUACAAUCUUGGCAGUCUUGGCACACAGAUUGAUGAAGAUGAGAAGUUCCACCAGCCUGAUAUCUUAGACCCAGUGUUACUUCUUUGCACUAGUGAUACGACCUUCAACUUUCAACUAUCAAACAGCAAAACCUGCAGCUCAUCAUAUCAAAGCUAUCCCUUGAACAACAGUGAUCUGCAUCAGUUCAACAUUGAGGAGAACGGAGGAACACCGUACACUGCAAAAAUGCCUGCAAGGCACCACCACCACCACCGUCAUCACCACCACCUCGCCAACUAUGGAGCCCUUGCUCCAGAGAGCAAAGACAUAGUUUCUGCUGUUCCAAACCCAAAC
This 415-nucleotide long non-coding RNA is filed under the name Melopsittacus undulatus (budgerigar). Its description in RNAcentral is "lncRNA (ENSMUNG00000017370.1)". The record is from RNAcentral. Lineage: Eukaryota; Metazoa; Chordata; Aves; Psittaciformes; Psittaculidae.